CUUGACCGUCUUUCCUUAGCCUCUGUAACUGACCACCCCCUGCCUUGAGAAUGUAGUCCCUGGUGAAUUCUGAUCCAUCUUCUGUUUUCGGGUAUUUACAAAGGCGAGGAGAUUGCCUCCCAAGACUGUCGACAUGCUAACCGGGCCGGAUCACCGACUGACAUUUUACAACGUGUUUUCAGCCCCGAUGUCUGCCUGGAGGAAUAUCCACAUGCCACACCUAGAGGGUAUUUGAAAACUAGGGGGCCGAAUGGCACCCGAGAAACCGGAAGAAAGCAAAGAACCUGUUAAGAAAGCUUAAAAGACUUCCUCUUACCUGGUAAUUAUGGAAUUCAGGAUUAUUUUUUGAACUAAAAAGCAAACAGAAGAGGAAAUAUAUUAAUUUUUGCUAGAGGAA
Molecule: long non-coding RNA, 397 nt
Organism: Ornithorhynchus anatinus (platypus)
Lineage: Eukaryota; Metazoa; Chordata; Mammalia; Monotremata; Ornithorhynchidae
Exons: 2
Source: RefSeq, a predicted model, not a curated record